UGAGGAAUAUUGGUCAAUGGGCGUAAGCCUGAACCAGCCAAGUAGCGUGAGGGAAGACUGCCCUAUGGGUUGUAAACCUCUUUUGUGCGGGGAUAAAGUGUGGGACGUGUCCCAUAUUGCAGGUACCGCACGAAUAAGGACCGGCUAAUUCCGUGCCAGCAGCCGCGGUAAUACGGAAGGUCCGGGCGUUAUCCGGAUUUAUUGGGUUUAAAGGGAGCGCAGGCCGUCCUUUAAGCGUGCUGUGAAAUGCCGCGGCUCAACCGUGGCACUGCAGCGCGAACUGGAGGACUUGAGUACGCACGAGGUAGGCGGAAUUCGUGGUGUAGCGGUGAAAUGCUUAGAUAUCACGAAGAACUCCGAUUGCGAAGGCAGCUUACCGGAGCGCAACUGACGCUGAGGCUCGAAAGCGCGGGUAUCGAACAGGAUUAGAUACCCUGGUAGUCCGCGCGGUAAACGAUGGAUGCCCGCCGUUGGGAUUUAGAUUUCAGCGGCCAAGCGAAAGCGUUAAGCAUCCCACCUGGGGAGUACGCCGGCAACGGUGAAACUCAAAGGAAUUGACGGGGGCCCGCACAAGCGGAGGAACAUGUGGUUUAAUUCGAUGAUACGCGAGGAACCUUACCCGGGCUUGAAUUGCAGGAGAACGAUCCAGAGAUGGUGAGGCCCUUCGGGGCUCCUGUGAAGGUGCUGCAUGGUUGUCGUCAGCUCGUGCCGUGAGGUGUCGGCUCAAGUGCCAUAACGAGCGCAACCCCUGUCCAUAGUUGCCAUCAGGUCGUGCUGGGCACUCUGUGGAGACUGCCGCCGUAAGGUGUGAGGAAGGUGGGGAUGACGUCAAAUCAGCACGGCCCUUACGUCCGGGGCUACACACGUGUUACAAUGGGGCAUACAGCGAGUUGGAUGUGCGCAAGUACGUCCGGAUCAAUAAAGUGCCUCUCAGUUCGGACUGGGGUCUGCAACCCGACCCCACGAAGCUGGAUUCGCUAGUAAUCGCGCAUCAGCCAUGGCGCGGUGAAUACGUUCCC
This 1019-nucleotide ribosomal RNA is filed under the name uncultured bacterium. RNAcentral's name for it is "bacterial SSU rRNA". It matches the Rfam family "Bacterial small subunit ribosomal RNA", at positions 355 to 1375 of the family's 1533-position model. The record is from RNAcentral.